UGUGGCGGGACUGUGAGUUUCCGGUCUGGGCUGUGGCGGGAUUGGUUUGAAGGUGUGCUGUUUGACGAAAGUAUGUCUCAGGAACGCGCCGUCCCGGCUAGCGCGGUUCCCCUGGAAGAAUUAAGUAGCUGGCCAGAGGAACUAUGCCGCCGGGAACUGCCAUCCGUCCUGCCCCGACUCCUCUCAUUGUCUCAACAUUCUGACAGUUGGAUUGAGCAUGUUCAAAUUUUGAAAAUUAUUGUAGAAAUGUUUUUACCUCAUAUGAACCACCUGACAUUGGAACAGACUUUCUUUUCACAAGUGUUACCAAAGACUGUGAAAUUAUUUGAUGACAUGGUAUAUGAAUUAACCAGUCAAGCCAAUGGACUGUCAAGCCAAAAUUUGGAAAUCCAGACUACUUUAAGGAAUAUUUUACAGACAAUGGUGCAGCUCUUAGGAGCUCUUACAGGAUGUGUUCAGCAUGUCUGUGCCACACAGGAAUCCAUCAUUUUGGAAAAUAUUCAGAGUCUCCCCUCCUCAGUCCUUCAUGUAAUUAAAAGCACAUUUGUGCAUUGUAAGAAUAGUGAAUCUGUGUAUUCUGGGCGUUUACACCUAGUUUCAGACCUUCUUCAGGCUCUUUUCAAGGAGGCCUAUUCUCUUCAAAAGCAGCUAAUGGAACUGCUGGACAUGGUUUGCAUGGACCCUUCAGUAGAUGAGAAUGAUGAUAUUUUGAAUAUGGUAAUAGUUAUUCAUUCUUUAUUGGAUAUCUGCUCUGUUAUUUCCAGUAUGGACCAUGCAUUUCAUGCCAAUACUUGGAAGUUUAUAAUUAAGCAGAGCCUUAAGCACCAGUCCAUAAUAAAAAGCCAGUUGAAACACAAAGAUAUAAUUACUAGCUUGUGUGAAGACAUUCUUUUCUCCUUCCAUUCUUGUUUACAUUUAGCUGAGCAGAUGACACAGUCAGAUGCACAGGAUAAUGCUGACUACAGAUUAUUUCAGAAAACACUCAAAUUGUGUCGUUUUUUUGCCAACUCCCUUUUGCACUAUACUAAGGAAUUUCUUCCUUUCCUCUCUGAUUCUUGCUGUAAUUUGCACCAGCUGUAUCUUCAGAUACACAGCAAGUUUCCUCCAAGCCUUUAUGCUACCAGGAUUUCUAAAGCACACCAAGAGGAAAUAGCAGGUGCUUUCCUAGUGACACUGGAUCCACUUAUCAGUCAGCUGCUCACAUUUCAACCUUUUGUGCAGGUGGUUUUAGAUAGUAGAUUAGACCUGCCAUGUGAACUACAGUUUCCACAAUGUCUUCUUCUGGUUGUUGUCAUGGAUAAGCUGCCAUUUCAGUCUAAGGAAGUGCAAACCCUGUGGUGCACAGACAGCCAGGCCUCAGAAACUACAACCAGGAUAUCUCUACUCAAAGCCAUUUUCUACAGUUUUGAGCAGUGUUCUGGUGAACUCUCUCUACCUGUUCAUUUACAGGGAUUAAAGAGUAAGGGGAAAGCUGAGGUGGCUGUCACAUUGUAUCAGCAUGUUUGUGUUCAUCUGUGUACAUUUAUUACUUCUUUUCAUCCCUCACUAUUUGCUGAACUGGAUGCUGCUCUGCUGAAUGCUGUACUUAGUGCUAAUAUGAUCACCUCUUUGUUAGCUAUGGAUGCAUGGUGCUUCCUUGCUCGAUAUGGGACUGCUGAACUCUGUGCACACCAUGUCACCAUAGUGGCUCAUCUGAUAAAAUCAUGCCCUGGAGAAUGUUAUCAACUCAUCAACCUAUCAAUACUGUUGAAGCGUCUCUUUUUCUUCAUGGCCCCACCCCAUCAGCUGGAGUUUAUCCAUAAAUUUUCCCCAAAAGAAGCAGAAAAUCUGCCUCUCUGGCAGCAUAUUUCCUUCCAGGCGUUACCUGCUGAGCUUAGGAAACAAACUGUCCAUGAGGUCUCCACGGUAGGCACAGCAGAAUGCAGGAAAUGGCUGAGCAGCAGUCGUACUUUAGGAGAACUAGAAUCUCUGAACACAGUACUGUCUGCUCUGCUUACAAUAUGUAAUUCUGCUGGUGAAGCUUUGGAUACAGGAAAACAAACUGCAAUUAUGGAAGUUGUGAGUCAGCUUUGGGCUUUUUUAAACAUUAAACAGGUAAGGAAAACAACUGAUCCUUUCUUUAUCAAAAAACAGAAAAUAUCAAAAAAAGAGGAUAGUACUGAAAUUUUCCAGUGUAGAGUAAAAACUAAUUCUUUUGGGUGUUUGGUAGACCUUUAUAAGAACUUAAAGUAUCUGUACUGUCUCAGGCCGCUGUCAUUUUCAGAGUGUGAUAGCAUUAUAUUAGUAAAAUUAGAAUAUGUGAUGUGAUGGCAGUCCACCUACUUACUUUUCUAACUGGUUAUACCCUCUCCCCCCCCCCCCGCCCCUUAUCUCUUCCCCUAUUGUUUCUGUUCUGUUUUGGGUUAAUGUAUCCCAUUUCUGUGAUUCUAGGACCUUUAAUAAAUCUUUUGGGCAGUGGAGAGUGAGCUGACUUAAAGGUGGAAAGGGCUAGUGAAUAGAUGUGGCUAAUUUCUAUUUCUCUUUCCCAGCAAAGCCAAGAAGCCAAGUGAUGAUCUAAAACUAAUGAUAUGCCUCCCACACCAUGGUUGUACACCUGUUUCUUAGUUUAAAAAUAUAAAUAGGCUGUUUGUUUUCUUUGACUAAGUAUAACACUGGCCUCUGGCAGCUAGUGGAAGCUAAAGGCAACAGCCAUGCUUUUGGGAAAUGAUAGAAAUGAUUUUACAGAUAAUGUUUUAUUAUUAUUUUUUUUUAUGGUCAGAUUACCCUACUGCAUUGUUUUGACUUCAACAAGUACUUUCCCGGAUGUUCACAAAUCAUUCAGUAUUCAUUCAGGAUAUCUGUGAUGGGGAUAUAGCUUACAAUAUUAUAAUGUAAACCAAAAUUAUGAAGAAGAGAAAUGAAAUUUUAAGAUGACUAAGGAACAUAUAAGCCUUUCAGUCACAGACAAGUAAUUAGAUCCCUUUUAGACUUAAAUUUGGAUUUCAAUCACAGCUCUGCUUUUUAUCAUAGCCACGUGAUCUUGAACAAAUUGUUUAACCUCUUUGACCCUGUUUUCUUAUCAGUAAAGGUAAUAAUAUCUACCUCACAGAGCUGUUGUAAGGCAUAAAUGAGGUAGCAGAUCAACCUUACAUUCAGCAGACAUUCAGCCUUUUACUUCCACUGUUGGGAUUUUUCAUUCAAACUC
This is an RNA transcript of Cercocebus atys (sooty mangabey), 3184 nucleotides long. It is a transcript of the gene named chromosome unknown open reading frame, human C1orf112, with no coding region annotated. Lineage: Eukaryota; Metazoa; Chordata; Mammalia; Primates; Cercopithecidae. The record is from RefSeq and is a predicted model, not a curated record. The transcript has 19 exons.